Microcebus murinus (gray mouse lemur) is the source of this 604-nucleotide long non-coding RNA. RefSeq lists it as uncharacterized. The record is from RefSeq and is a predicted model, not a curated record. NCBI's taxonomy places the organism in Eukaryota, Metazoa, Chordata, Mammalia, Primates, Cheirogaleidae.
AAAUACCAUGCAGCCAGAGAGAAGUCAAGACAGUACUACCCCUCAGUUUUUACUCCCAAACUAUUGCUUUUUCCAUCUCUACCACGCGUUGUUCCCUGAAGGCAGUAAAAUAAUACCUAAAGGUAUAGUUACAGUGUUUAUCUAAUCACUGUUCCACUCCCCAGCCCCCACCCCAAACACACACUCAUAUACAAUCCUCCAGUGGCUACCCUCCUUUCAGGAUAAAAUCCAAACCUCUGCUGGGCCUGGCCUAUAGGACACCAAGACAGGAAUGUGCAGCAAAAGGGGAAGACUAUGAGAAAAUGAAGUUCCGGAGAUCAGUGCAGAAAGAUGGGAAAGGACAAAGAGGAGGAAAAACCCUGAUCUUGGAUUUUCAGAGUUUGUUGCUGCCUAGUUACACCAGUGUCAUCGGUUGACCAAGCAGAUCAAGCCUGACCUAGAACAUAUGAAAGAGUAAGAGAGAAACAGUAAGGCAAUGUGUUGUAAUGUAAUAGCAUACUCUUGUAUGCUAUCAGUAGGGGUUGAAUUUAAUGGUGCUAAUUCUGGAGCUUUGUUUCCUGGCUGUGGAGACUGCGUCUGUCACUUAAUAAACUGUGUCACACUA